This 273-nucleotide ribosomal RNA is filed under the name uncultured bacterium. RNAcentral's name for it is "partial 16S ribosomal RNA". It matches the Rfam family "Bacterial small subunit ribosomal RNA", at positions 524 to 796 of the family's 1533-position model. The record is from RNAcentral.
AACGUAGGUACCGAGCGUUAUCCGGAUUUACUGGGCGUAAAGCGUGUUCAGGCGGCCUGGCAAGUCGGGCAUGAAAUCUCUCGGCUCAACCGGGAGAGGCUGUCCGAUACUGCUGGGCUUGAGGACGGUAGAGGGUGGUGGAAUUCCGCGUGUAGUGGUGAAAUGCGUAGAUAUGCGGAGGAACACCAGUGGCGAAGGCGGCCACCUGGACCGUCCCUGACGCUCAAACACGAAAGCUAGGGUAGCGAACGGGAUUAGAAACCCCCGUAGUCC